GACUAUUCGGCUGUGAUGAAAGCUCGUCUGUGUUUCCCCCUUCCGUCCCCGUUUUCUUGGCGCCAGAAAUCCAGUGUUGUAUAACGUGUAAAAUGGCCGGGUCGGGAUAUAUGCUUACUUCCCUGGAUUAGCAAGGCAGCUAGAGGAUGACUCUAUAAGGAGAGUGGAGAAACUGGCCAGUUAAUAUGUCUGCCAGAGUGAGUGCGCGGCCUCGCUCUGGUCAGAGAGGUGACCCGGACAUCGGCCACUACUCCGACCACGUGUUCUGCCAAGCGGGAGGAGUAGCCGCCUUGCAUUGCAUGUUUCUCCCCUACUUCACUGUACGUGAUAAAUGAUCGGUCUCCGCGUCACCCGGCCUCCACGGAUGAGCCCGUCAAGUCAGCGAGGCCGGAAUGUGCACAUGAGUACAGCUGCCAAUGAAAGUCAGAAGAAACCAUAGGAUUCCUUGGAGCUGGCGUUACAGUAUAGGGAACGGCUGAAUGUAUAUGAAGGUGGCUGUACCUGCUUCCCCUCUUGAAGCAUAUUUUCUCUGAUCAUCAUGAAACCUGAGCUUCUGACUUAUAGGAAUUACUUGCCAGAACAGCCAACUCCAGGAGAGGACCUUUCAGAUUCCCAGACUCCUUUCUAUUUUAAACCUGCUGCUAAGGACAAAAGAUAUCAACUCAAGGACCUGUGCCACACAGACACAAUAGCGGACAAAGGACUGCUUGGCCCACUCUGCAGAAUGGGAAUGUCUCAAAAGGACACACACGGAGGUGGCUGUGUGCCAACAGUGACAAAAUCAGCUAAAGAGUCACCUCAUCUGCUCUGCCAACAGCACCAGCAUCAUGUAGAAACGUCAACCUCUAGAUUGACCUCUGUUGUCCAAGAUUCUUGGUAAUAGGGGUCCUUUUAUCUGAAUCUUGAUCUACAGGAAGAAAAGCCCCCAGGACACCUCGGGAAGAAUGACCUUCAGAGUUGGCUCUACCUCUUGAGAGGUUCACCACAGGUUUUGCUCCAGAAGUAGCUCAUUUCUUUUUAAAGAAAUGUGUAUCCAUUUAUCACCCGACGAGUAUUUAUAUGAAUUCCACAAACAACCUCUAGUGGCUGCAAGCAUAAAGAGAAACACAAUUUUAAAACAGAAAGACAAAAACAAAAAAUCUAAACAAACUAAAGAACAAAAACAACUACAAAAACCAAAAACGAAACUUGAUGCUAAUGGUGGCUGUAUGUCCAAAGGGCAAAAAGAGGAAGUCUGAAGUUUAAUUACUAAGUAAACACCACAUGUGGGGAGCACAGCGCUCCUCCAGAUUACUUACCACUCUGUAAGCAAACACUAGAGACAAACGGGAAGCUGAAA
This is a long non-coding RNA of Microtus oregoni (creeping vole), 1339 nucleotides long. RefSeq lists it as uncharacterized. The record is from RefSeq and is a predicted model, not a curated record. The transcript is spliced from 4 exons. Lineage: Eukaryota; Metazoa; Chordata; Mammalia; Rodentia; Cricetidae.